GUGCAUGCGGAGCUACACAUGCAGUCGAGCGCGCCUUCGGGUGAGCGGCGGACGGGUUAGUAACGCGUGGGAACGUGCCCUUCUCUACGGAAUAGCCUCUGGAAACGGAGAGUAAUACCGUAUACGCCCUUUGGGGGAAAGAUUUAUCGGAGAAGGAUCGGCCCGCGUUAGAUUAGGUAGUUGGUGGGGUAAUGGCCUACCAAGCCUACGAUCUAUAGCUGGUUUUAGAGGAUGAUCAGCAACACUGGGACUGAGACACGGCCCAGACUCCUACGGGAGGCAGCAGUGGGGAAUCUUAGACAAUGGGGGCAACCCUGAUCUAGCCAUGCCGCGUGAGUGAUGAAGGCCUUAGGGUCGUAAAGCUCUUUCGCCUGUGAUGAUAAUGACAGUAGCAGGUAAAGAAACCCCGGCUAACUCCGUGCCAGCAGCCGCGGUAAUAAAUU
This 443-nucleotide ribosomal RNA is filed under the name uncultured Paracoccaceae bacterium. Its description in RNAcentral is "bacterial SSU rRNA". It matches the Rfam family "Bacterial small subunit ribosomal RNA", at positions 34 to 529 of the family's 1533-position model. Lineage: Bacteria; Pseudomonadati; Pseudomonadota; Alphaproteobacteria; Rhodobacterales; Paracoccaceae. The record is from RNAcentral.